UACGGAGGGUGCAAGCGUUAUCCGGAUUCACUGGGUUUAAAGGGUGCGUAGGUGGGUUGGUAAGUCAGUGGUGAAAUCUCCAGGCUAACUUGGAAACUGCCAUUGAUACUAUCAAUCUUGAAUACCGUGGAGGUCAGCGGAAUAUGUCAUGUAGCGGUGAAAUGCUUAGAUAUGACAUAGAACACCAAUUGCGAAGGCAGCUGGCUACACGAAUAUUGACACUGAUGCACGAAAGCGUGGGGAUCAAACAGG
RNAcentral lists this ribosomal RNA (252 nucleotides) under uncultured bacterium. Its description in RNAcentral is "partial 16S ribosomal RNA". It matches the Rfam family "Bacterial small subunit ribosomal RNA", at positions 524 to 776 of the family's 1533-position model. The record is from RNAcentral.